CCUACGGGAGGCAGCAGUGGGGAAUAUUGCGCAAUGGGCGAAAGCCUGGCGCAGCGACGCCGCGUGAGGGAUGAAGGUCUUCGGAAUGUAAACCUCUGUCAGCAGGGAAGAACAGUCCCUGUGCUAAUCAGCAGUGAAUUGAUGGUAACUGCACAGGAAGCACCGGCUAACUCCGUGCCAGCAGCCGCGGGAAUUCGGAGGGUGCGAGCGUUAAUCGGAAUUACUGGGCGAAAAGCGCUCGUAGGCGGUUUUUCAAGUCAAGGGUGAAAUCCCCGCGCUCAACGUGGGAACUGCCUUUGAAACUGGAAGACUUGAGUGCGGGAGAGGAUAGUGGAAUUCCAGGUGUAGCAGUGAAAGCCGUAGAUAUCAGGAGGAACAGCAGUGGCGAAGGCGACUAUCUGGCACGUAACUGACGCUGAGGCGCGAAAGCGUGGGUAGCAAACAGGAUUAGAUACCCGAGUAGUC
This 465-nucleotide ribosomal RNA is filed under the name uncultured bacterium. Its description in RNAcentral is "partial 16S ribosomal RNA". It matches the Rfam family "Bacterial small subunit ribosomal RNA", at positions 338 to 795 of the family's 1533-position model. The record is from RNAcentral.